GGAAUACUUACACGGUUUUGUUCAGCCCAAGAAUGUAUAUGGAUUGUAUUUAGAGAGCUGAAGCCAGCCUUGUGUUUUCACCUGGUUAAAGGAAAAUCGUAUUUUGAUUUGUGAAAUGUAUUGGUCGAUGAGAGAUUUUUUUGCUGUGUUCUGUUUUUUAACAGUUUUUUUCCCAGCAGCAAAUGAAGCAGAAAAUGACAUUUUGCUUUCUCGGGCUAGUGUGGAUAACCGAUGUGCUCCUGGGAUGUCUCCACUUGGGCCCAUCCAGAGGUUGUCCGCAGCUUUCCAGUUUUUUUCUCUUAGUUUGAGGAAGCUAUCACUACAGCCAGACCUACACGCAGAUCCUCUGUCAAAUCGUUUCCUCAUGUCAUAACUUUUAGCCAUAGCAAGGCUUUUGUGGAUUACCCUUGUCAAGUAUGUGGUGGGAACAUUUGAAUCCAAAAGCAGUUUAAGUGUUGCUGACCACUGAUGUCGUGCCGAGGUUAAAAGGAGAAACCAUUUCCAAUCAGGCUAAUCCUCUUGACUGGAAUGCAACACAGUCCUGCAGACGUGCAGGCCCUCUCACAAAGCCACCUUUGUUUCCUGCUGUUCCUGUUCCCAUAGCCCUUCAUCCCUCCAUGAUGGUGAGCUGCAUGAAGGGCUGAAACCUGAACUGCAGCUGUAAGGAGCUCUUCCUCAAUCCAUGCGUCUGCAGCAAGCUGUGCCUCUUUUUUGUGUUUUUUUGUGUCCGAUUUUAUUUGUGUGUACAGAAAGGUUAAAUGAGCACUCGCACGCUGCAGCUCAUCUUCGAUAUAAACAAUUCUUGAGUAUGAGUUCUAGUAAAUACAGUACUUGUGUUAUCUACAUUUUAGGAAAUAACUCGGAAAUGUUGUUUAUGAUGCAGCUUUAAAGGAAGGAAUUGUUCAGAUUUAAAGGCGUGUAAUGCAUUCAAUCGAAUAUCCUCAAUUGAAACACUAAUGCAAUUGCAAAUGCUUCUUCAUCCAAAUGCAUGUUUUGUCUGAAAAAAAGUAGAAAAAAAAUGAAAUGUGUUCAAAUCCAAAGCAAGAGAGUAAGUCAUAUAAUGACUACUACACAUCACAAAUCCUAGGGCAGAUUCAAGCUUGCCUGAAAAGUGCAGCCUUAGAAGCUUGACAGACAGAAAUGAACCUGGAUGUCAUAACAAAGGCUUUGAAUUGGUAGAUGGCACAGUAGGAUGCUGGGGGACAGGAAUGAGUUAACUAUAGGAAUCUUAUGUUUCUAGUACGUGUGUGAGGCAGAGUCUUUAUUGCGGGCUCCAGUAGUCUAUUUACCGUUUGAUCCAUUAAAGGAUUGACAGAGGAAAAAUGCAUUGCUUUGUUGUAAACUCUGCAAGGUGUAGAGAGGGCAAGUUUGGACAAAGAAAAUGCAUGAGAUUUUGCUUGGCUUUUAUGCCUGAUCUUAUUCAAACCAUUCACAUUUCAAUCAAAAGACGUCUUAAACAUCUUCACCACACAACCGCCAACUGAGAUGCCAACUCGUAAUAUAUUUCAGUUACAGAGUUUAUGGGCUGUGCUGUAUUGCAAGUGAGAGUUGCCAUUUUGUAACCUGGACAGCAGCUGUCAGAUCAGAAAGCUGUUGUUUCUGUAUACUGACAUUCACCACAUCUUUUAUCUUCUCAAAUAAGCAUUCAAUGACUGAAAAUAUUAGUUUGCACAAGUUAUUCUUUGAUGAUGAUACAUAUCAGUGAGCUUUAAUAUGAGUAUGAAGAUUAACUUAUCAGCACAACAAGUUUAUAUAAGGAAUGGAGUAGCUGUGAAUGUUACACUUUCCAGACUACACUAAUAAUAGGACAGUGAAAAUAACAAAAUAUGAUGACUCAUUCAUUUCCCCUCUUUGAAGAACAUAAAUCAUCUUAUGUGCAAUUUAAAAAUAUAUAUAUAUUAUAUAUAUAUAUGCCUAGAGACAAUUGUAUUGUUAUGGCGC
This is a long non-coding RNA of Clupea harengus (Atlantic herring), 1941 nucleotides long. NCBI's taxonomy places the organism in Eukaryota, Metazoa, Chordata, Actinopteri, Clupeiformes, Clupeidae. The record is from Ensembl.